Non-coding RNA from Pediculus humanus corporis (human body louse), 75 nucleotides. The record is from Rfam. NCBI's taxonomy places the organism in Eukaryota, Metazoa, Arthropoda, Insecta, Psocodea, Pediculidae.
GAUUCCGUGGUGUAGUGGUUAACACGUCUGCUUGCAAAGCAAAGAAGAUCGCCAGUUCGAAUCUGGCCGGAAUCG